This is a non-coding RNA of Arachis ipaensis, 569 nucleotides long. NCBI's taxonomy places the organism in Eukaryota, Viridiplantae, Streptophyta, Magnoliopsida, Fabales, Fabaceae. The record is from RefSeq and is a predicted model, not a curated record.
UUUUCUGCUUUGAUGAGAAAUUACUGUUUAAUUAAUUAUGAUCCUAUUAAAUCACUGCAAUGUUUUAUUGUUAUUGUGUAUUCGCCGGCCUGUGCUUUAAUCACUAAAUGAUGUCAAUUUUAGGGCUUGGAAUUUAAUUAUUGUUGGUGGAAUCUCAAUUUAGGGAACUUAACAUUAGAUUCAUAGUUAUUGUAGGUGUUGGAGUUGGCUGAGAUUGCUUCCGGUUCAAUCAAUUUACUGCUUGAUUUUUCACAAUGCUUCCAAUUACCUUCACUUUUUCUUUUUCUCUGCUUAAUUGAACUUACUUCUUCAGGGAGGAGGAAGAGGUUGAUAGAUUCAACAAAGUUCAAGAGAGUUUCUUGACAAGUUCUUCAACUCUCAGUAUACUUGAAUUCAUGAAGAUGAUGAAGCAUGAAUUAAGAAAUCGCUUGUGACACUAUGUGAACUUCACAGAAGAAAAGAUUGGUUUGACGAGAGAACAACUAAUACAAUGUUCACUGUUUGUUUCCAUCCAGCACCAAUGUAUUUUCUGGCUGAAAUUGAGGGAGCUGAGCAAAAAUCUGAUUCAG